CACAUUUGGAAUUUCAUCCUAAAACACCAAUCUGAUGCCAUUUUCCUUAAUUGCUUCAAAUCCUACCUUAUCAUCAAAUAAUGAAAAUGUGCAGCUGUCCAAAAGAUAAGCUGUCCAAAAGUUUUGAAAAUACAGCAAAAUAAAAUCCACAAAGAAGACCAUGUACCUUCAAGGAAACAUGACAGCACAAAGUAGUCCAUGGGUCUGAUUAGAUGACUGACUAUUCAUAUGAAAACAAAAAGAAGCAGAGGAACCCCAAAGCAAUGCUGAAAGAGGCAUAUGGCUGUCUGCUAUAGGAAAUGGGAUACUGGAUCCAGCAGGCCUUUUGUGAUGACCUUACAUAAUCUUUCUAUGGGCCAAAACAGAUGGCCCCAAAACACCUGACUGAUGUCGCUACAGGGCCACAAACCAUGGGGCUGCAGCAAAACCACACCACACACCCCAAUCCAGUGUCUUCCCAGCAGGAAGCAGCAGAAAUCUGAUCCUUUUUGCACUGGGAAAAAGGUACCUUUACCACCCCAGCAGUGGGUUUUUGGAGCUGCAGCAGCAUGCACCAUCUAAAUGCCAUGCUACCAGAGUGCUGAAAAACUGCCCCCAUGUGAGCAGCAGUGGGGGCUUCAUGGUGUGUUUCCGGCAUCUUGGCGGCAUGCAUCAUGUGUAUACCAAGCCCCCAAGAUGCCAAGAAGAUGCUGCAUUUUGCCAGUCUGUUUUCCCCCUAAGUCCCUAGUCAAUCUGCUGAAUUCUCUAUCAGUUCAUUUUCUAUCAAAAAUUCCCAGAAUUCACAUUAUCUUCAUAUUUUAGAUAGAAAGAAUGUGAGGGGUUUGUUUUGCUUUUUAAACAACUGGGACUUCCAGUACUAUGGCAGAAGUGAUGGUCGCUGUUUCAAACCGGUCCUAAAUUGGACAACCUGCCACGGAAUGGAUCUUUCCAAGUAACACCAGGAGCAGGUGAAUAUGUCCCCCUGACAAAGGGGAACCGAGGGAUCCCUAUUUUUGUUCCUCACCUCUCAGACAUAGGACAGGAAUUAUUUCAACCCUGGGAACAGAGUUUGCAGUUACCUGUUGUGAUGUUUGAAAUCCCAGUAGUCCCACUUCCACUUAGCCCAUCAAGUAAGCAUCUGGUAUGACAACUCGUAUCUAGCCCUAAUUACUAACACAGAGCUCUGUGCCAGAACUUCUGAGCCUCUUUUAAAAUGUCCUCUUUAAACAUAUAACUUUCUCUCUCUAAGUUUUACUUCUUCCUCUUUUUAUGAUCCUCUCAUAAAAGGCAAAAAGCAGUUCUUUGUUCACAAAACUCCAAAGGAAAUGUUCACACAAAGAGAUGAAACUGCAGAGCAGCUGAACUCAUCUGUGCUCUGCCAGUUCUGCCCCCAAAAUGCAGCGGGUUCAGUGAAUUUCCACCUAUCAAAAUAUCUCCUUGAAGUUCUUUAUAAUUGGUCCCCUAAUUAUCCUUGACCAUCUUGUUAGACCGUGGACUAAUAGAUCCUAUUUUUAAGAGGCAGGCCAUCUAAGCCAAGUUAAAUUGGAUGAGACUUAAAAUUAAAUAGGAAAAAUAAGUCAUUAAAAUAGUGCAGCUCUAAUAUUCCAAAUGAAUAUUACUUCUGUCAAAUUAUUUAUUUAAGUGUAUUUAUUUAAAAUAUUUAACUAGGAAUUUGCCACUAAACCUAGAGGAAUUGCACACAUUUAGCCUAGAGCAAUGACAACAUUCAAAUACCUCACAGGCAAUGUUUCAAAUGAAGAAAGAGAGAACUAAGAAUAUUGGAUGUUAGAGCUAGACUGACAAGCAAAGAGUGUGUGAAUCUGCAGAGUACAUACUCUGUCAUCACCAAAAAACUCAACCCCUUCAUGUUAGGCCCUUUCUAUGCCUAGAUUUGGGUAGAUAGCACAUUUUGCAUUAUGUGACUGAGAUUUGACUGUUCCCUGUCACCAUGGUUCAUCCUUAUCUUGAAUCAUUUUAAUCAGGAAAUUAAUCAGGAAAUUUAAUCAGAAAAAUCGAAUACUCAUUUUGGUUAAUAAGGCAGAUGCGAGACUAGUAUAGAAUCAUAGAGUUGGAAGGGGCACCAUGGGGCAUCAGGUCCAAACUCCUGCUUAGUACAAGAUCUCCAGUUAGCAUAUUCUCAGUCUCAGAAGAUAGCUAUCCAGCCUCUUUUUGAAGACAUGCAGAAGAGACCUCACCAGCACUCUGGGCAAUUGAUUCCAAGCCAAACUGCUCUCACUGGCAAUAUGUUCCUUCUAAUAUUAAAUCAAAAACUACUCUCCUGUAACUUAAAACCAUAAGACCUAGUGGUACCCUCUGAGGCAACAGAGAACAAGCUUGCAUAAAGAGUAAUAGCAAAAAAAAAAUAUGAGAAGUUUCCUUGAUUUUUCCUAUCUAACUUAAUAUAUAUUAAACUGGAAUGAGAGCAAAAUGCUGGCUUAGAAAUGUAGAUACAAGGCAAGAACUGCAGCAGAUUAUAUUUUACCAACACAAGAUAAAGCUACAAAAUAACAAGGCUACUUAUUGUUCCAAGGCUGUCUAUAUUCUUUAUGCAUCAUGACCAGUCACCUUACCCUCUUAGAAAUAUCAAAAGUGGGUUGCUUGGAGGAGAAAAGGAGGAAAUCAUUUAUUUGCAAAGAACAGAAAUAAAUUACACAGAGCUGUCAGUGUUGGUUUUUUUUAAUGAGCCAAUUACAGCACUACUUAGCACAAAAAGAAACUGGGAAGCAGCAACAUGGACAGAAUUAAUCAUAGAUGCAUUUGACCACUAUGCUUAUAAUGAGUAUUUGAAUACCCUUUUAAGGGGUGUUGGGGGAAGGGAAACAAGACAAAAAUGAUAUAUUAAAAAGCCAGUUCUUGUAAUAGGAUUAUUAUUUCCUGCUCUGUAAUUAAUUUUAGACAUUAAAGACUACAUCACCAAGUAGAUACUUUGUUGGGGUAUAACAACUCUGGGAUGAAGACAUUUUUUCCAACAAUUCCUUCUAGUUCUGUUCAACACAGAGAUGUACUGGUAUUUGUUUCUCCUAAACCAGUGAAUAUAUACAAAGAAGAUAGUGCCAGUGAAAAAUAGGUAAACUUCUUCCUUCUGGACAGAGACCCCAUUAGCAUGGCACAGUAAACAGGAAAUUAGUAUCUGUUAACAAGGGUUCAUAAUUCAGACCCUGCAGCUCCUGACAUCAGGUUUCCUACAACACACCAGUGCAUAUCCAAGACAUUUUGCUACUUGGAGUGGGGGAGAUAACAGCAUCCCUGACUACGGUUGCCAGGUCAGGACUAGUCCAGGCCCUGAAAUCUAAAACCUGGGACCUAGGGAUAACACCUCAUGAUGCUACUGGACGGUAGGCUGUGACAGUAUUGCAAGAAUGAUAAUGCAAGGGACAGCCCCUAGUAUCAUUUAAGCAUUGUACAUUAGGCAUCAACUACAAUUGCCAUUCAAAUCUACAGCACCCAAGUCUAACAAAUGAAGAAAAUACACACACACUUUUCAAGACAGCAUUCAAACCACUACACCUCCCUCUUCCCCUGGGGAUCAGACAAGAGGGUCCAGACAAAAGGGUCCAGAUGGGAGGACUCUAACCCUCACUUACACUUCAACAAAUAUCAAUAUACCCAGUACUGAAAACCAACUAAAUUAUUCUGGCACAGGCGACAGAAAAUUCCCCUAAGAGUGUUAGUUUAUUGUAGUCUCAUUCAGCAAUCAUACAGGUAUUCAUUAAAUUUUGGUAGACUAUAUUCUUUCUUUGCAGUGGAGCAUAUACUCCAACUAUGAAGUACAGUAUUCAACAAAAUUUCAAUAAAGGGUUCAUGAUCUGAUUCCUCCUCCUCAGGAACCAGCCAAGAACCCUAGGACUACUUCCCUUUGCAAAUAGGUCUCUGGUUACUCAUGAGGGUACAGCAUUUCAUUCAUUAAAAUGUGCACUCUUCUCUGGGGAAAAGACUGCUAACAGGGCAACCAUUUAGUCUUUCACAGAUGUGUCAUGAGUUAGCAUACCUGCAGGCUUAGUUCUUAGCAAGCUGCAUACAUACAACUGACACAUGGCCUUUCUUAAUGGGUCAAAUCACUCCCUGUCCACAGUUCUGACUGUCUCCACAACUUAAAUGCCCAUUCUGUCACUAUCACAUGGGAUAGAAUUCCAUUUUCCCCCCAGGAGAUUCCAUGUCUUGCAGAUUAUUUCUGUAGUAGCUUCAUUAUGACCCUUCCCUAUUUAUUCUCUGGAUUUUUUUUCAACUGGAAGGGGGCAACUUUGUGUUUAAUGGCAGGUGAGAUCUGUUGGGACUCUUCCUGGCAUAGCUGAGGGACCUGUAUCCCUAGAGCUGCCUCUUGGGGCACUUGCAUGAUUCAGCUGGGUGCAUUGGGGCCAGAAUAGCCUCUAGAAAGGCAAGGACAACAUCAGCAACCCUGAUAGUUUCAACAGCACCUUGUUGUGCUGUAAAUCUAUCUCUUAAGUCCUUAAUGGUAGCCUCACAUGCAUCAUUCAUGACUGACAUUAGCCUGGGAACCCAAGAACACAGCAGUAGAGUUUGCCUCCUUCUUCUUUUCCUUCUUACACUCCUCCAGUUUCUUCUCUCACUCCCAAAGCAACCUAUGCUAACCUCGUUCUUAUGCCUCAAUUCCUGGAGCUGAACCUGAAGGCCUGCAAUAAGUGCUUCCUGCUCUUCAUUAAUGUCCAAAACACACUGCAGAAAUAAUCCAGUUUGAGACCGCUUUAACUGCCCUGGCUCAAUGCUAGGGAAUCCUGGGAAUUGUAGUUUUAUUGUGGCCCCAAAGCUCUCUGACAGAGA
Long non-coding RNA from Sceloporus undulatus (fence lizard), 4758 nucleotides. RefSeq lists it as uncharacterized. NCBI's taxonomy places the organism in Eukaryota, Metazoa, Chordata, Lepidosauria, Squamata, Phrynosomatidae. The transcript has 3 exons. The record is from RefSeq and is a predicted model, not a curated record.